GGGGACGCGAAAGUGCCCCCAUAUAAGUGUGUAGAUAGCGUCCAUAUUGGCCUGUGGCGUGGUCUGUGAAUC
RNAcentral lists this non-coding RNA (72 nucleotides) under unclassified sequences. RNAcentral describes it as "L13-Bacteroidia ribosomal protein leader". It matches the Rfam family "L13-Bacteroidia ribosomal protein leader". The record is from RNAcentral.